CCGGAGCGUCCCUGAAGACUUGAAUGGACUCUUGCUAUCGAAUAGCCGCAGCUCCAUGGUAAGAGGCGGUGCAUGUCCCCUCACCUGCACCCGGGCCUCGGACAGUCCCAACCUCUGGCUCAGCUCCUCCCGCAUGAAGGCGUCCGGAUAGUGGGUCUCGUCGAAGAGCCUCUCCAGCUCGUUGAGCUGCUCCAGCGUGAAGGGCGUGGCCUACAAAUCUGUGAAGAUGAUGACAAGAGGAGAGAGGAGAGAGGAGCACAUGGACCAGGAGUCCUUCUUCACUCCGCAUCACCAAAUUCACAGGCAG
Molecule: long non-coding RNA, 307 nt
Organism: Nerophis ophidion (straightnose pipefish)
Lineage: Eukaryota; Metazoa; Chordata; Actinopteri; Syngnathiformes; Syngnathidae
Exons: 3
Source: RefSeq, a predicted model, not a curated record